Molecule: non-coding RNA, 5846 nt
Organism: Peromyscus maniculatus bairdii (prairie deer mouse)
Lineage: Eukaryota; Metazoa; Chordata; Mammalia; Rodentia; Cricetidae
Source: RefSeq, a predicted model, not a curated record
UUGAGGCGGAGAAGUCUUGUGUGGAGAGCUGACUAGAAACUGAGUACUUUCCGUAGCUUGUGAAGGCUAUGUCCAUCAUGGCAGGCUACCUCCAUCAUGGCAGAGCUAGUCCUUGGCCUAGGAAGUUAGGAAUCCCAUCUGUCCUGGUUUGCUUCCUGUUCUGUGAUAGAACACUGGCCCAUGCCAAAGUGGGGGAGGAAGGAGUUUGUUUGUACAGUUGUUGAAGGAAGCCAAGGCAGGAACCUGAGGGCAGGAACCGAAUCAGAGGCCAUGCAAGAGUGCGUCUUACUGCCUCGCUUCAUUUGGCUGGCUCAGUCAGCUGUCUUACAUAGCCCAGGCCCAUCUGCCCACGGACCGGAUGGUGCUCAUGAAUCAGUUAGCAACCAAGAAAAUGCCCUAUAAACACAGACAGGCAAAUCUGAUGGAGGCAAUUCCUGGAUUGGGAUUCCCUCUUCUCAGAAAUACUUAGUCUUAUGUCAAGUUGACAAAACUACGACACCGUUUUCCCAGCACACCGAGGAAAGGCCGUCCUUUUAGGACCUGGCGUCACUCACUACAUUCUCAUAGCUUGUUCUACAGGGGCAUCUUCAGACUUCAGGGAGCAGCAUAGUCACAGAACUGAAAAUGCCGGGAUUGGCAGAGCUCUGACGAACUUUAAACACACCAGGAGUAGUUGGAUUCAAGACGAGCCUCCCAACAAGAACAAAGCAAAGUGCCAUCGAGAAAUUCUCACUGUGAGUGUUUAGUCUGAUUUUUUUUUCCUUUGGGCAUUACUUGCAUAAUUACUCACAUCCCCCUCCACUAGGGUCUGGUUUUCUUCUUGCUUUUGUGGCUAAUUUUAUAUCCAUGGGUUUUUUUCUUUCAAACAUAGGUCUGCUACACUUGCUUGGGAUUCUAUGUAUCACCAAAUGUCAGUUCUGCCUCUUUGAGCCUGCCAUCUGUCAGUCACCUUUAUCAGUUUCAAGUGUUCACGAACAUUGCCUUGAGACAUUCUCAGAGCCGACCUUUGGAGUUUAUUCUCAUCACUGAAAAAGUUGCUAUAGUUAUUUUGUAGUUCAUUCAUUCCAUAAACAUUUAUUAUGUACCUACUGUGUGCAGGAACUGUGCUAAGUUCUGGGGUAGCUAUUGACAAGAAGGCAUAUUAGUUAUUUUUACUGUCAUGUGUCCAGAUACUUGACAGAAGCAGAGAGGGUUGAUCGUGGCUCCUCGUUUCAGAGGUAUCAAGCCACCAUGGUGGGAGGGUAUGGCAGGGAAGAGCAUAACACAGAAGCUCAUGUCGCGGUGAUGAAGAAGGAGAGAACGGGGCGGGGGGAACGGACAUGUGGGUGCUGCUCUGGUCUCCUCUUUCGGUUGGUUCAGGCUUCCAGACUAUGGAUGGUACCAUCCAUGUUCAUAGUGGGUCUUCCCCUCAAUCAAUCUCUAGAAGUCACAGACACACCCAUCUCCCAGGCCAUUCAAAAUCCAUCCACGUUGCCAAUGAAGACGAACCAUUACAGAUGUGCACCGUCUGCUCCUUUGGUAUUGUUUCCAUUGCUUCCAGAGCCCAGCAGGCCUUUGGCUCCUUCCCUUAUCUCUUUUUGUGUCCUGCCCGUGAGGUGAGUGUCAUUGGUCUGUCACACUCUCUCAGGAUGAUGUCCUGCCCUGCCAAAGCAUUGGGGUCAAUUCACCAAGGACUAGACCCUCUGAUAGUAUAAGCCAACAUAAAAUGUGUCUCUUUUCAAGCUUAUUGUCUCGGGUAUGUUGUUAGAGAGAUGGAAAUCUGACACACACAUCCCUGUUGAAGGCUCCAUGGACUUGUAUACUUUCUUGCCGGAGGUUGCAGAAGAGGCACUAAAUCCAGGCUGGGGAUGCACAGGGUGAUGAGGUCUGAGGGCAGCACCUUCUGGUUCCUUUGCUGAUGUCUUUGGUGCUGUCCCCACGAGCUUCCUCUUAGCCCGUUAGGACCCUGUUCUCCAAACCCUAUCACUAAAUGUACAUUCCCAUAGAAUGAGUUCUUUCCCUGAAAAUCCUUUUAUGUUCCCCGCUGCAUAUGGUUUCUUUGCUUUCCUGCUCCUUCUGCCCUCCGGAUACCUGAAGACAUCGCGAGCUCCUCCUAAAUAUCUCCAGGGUCAAGUCAGAGCACGUGCCACAGAUCAAUUUGAUGUUAUCCACGAAGUACGUAUACUCAUAAGAGAGAGAAUUAAUCUAGGCCCUCGUCAAGGACCUCACACAGUAAGGAGGAAGAAAAAGAAUGAGGGGAGGAAAAGAGAAGGAAAUGAAAGAUGACGACUGGAAUACAUUCUGUACAGCGAGCUCUAGGAGUACAUAAAAAGCAUUAAUAAUUGAAAAUAGAGGAAUGUAUGGAAAUAAUGGUCUGUUGUUAUUACAUGAUUUGAAUACAUUUUUUUUACAAGAGUUUAUGUUACCCAGGUAGCAUAACCUCUAUUUUAGAAGUGAUGAAGAGAAGCACGACCAUUAAUUUUCAGAAGGCGCAAUAUAGCUGGAAUACAUAACACGAUCUUAAAAGCAGCGUUCCAAGGACAGUAUGAAAGCCCAAUAUUUAAACAUACUCACUUUGUAAUUCCAGGGGUAGAGAUGGCAUUUCUUCAGUUAUUUCAGAUACCUAGGUUGAGCCAAACUCACAUCAACCAUUUCUUACAAUCCGUGUGAGAAAAUAACAACACAGGAAUUGCUUAUCCCGAGUGUAAGAAGCCGCAGUAUCAGCAGGAAAGUCUGACUGCGGCAGGCUUUUCACACCCCAGAGAGGCAGAGCCUCACGCUGCGAGCCGCGGAGGCCCCGCUGGGAAAGGGCGAGCGCUGGCUGGGUUGCUCCUGUAGCUGGGCUCUCUGCAUUUUAUGGCUCAGCAAUAAGCGGGGGAAUACGUGAAAUGAGGACAGGUCUAUUAAAGGUAUCGUGUAGCUUUUGGUUGCACAUAUUUAAACUGCUUAUAAACAGGUCAGACCUUCUGUCUUUCAUACGUGUUUAAUCAGUUACAAAGGUGUCCUUCCGCUUUGCAAAACAGUAUAACUCGGAGGCUGAUCUUGGUGUUCCAACCCCAAAGGGGGCGGGAGAUGUCAGAUCCACGGUUAUAAGGAGUCUCAUGCAUAUGGAACGAUGUCUUGUGGGUGGGAAGAAACAGAUCUGGAGAGGCUAUUUCUUCCCAGCUGAAAUCUUACAGUAAAUUUAAUUGCACGCCCUUAAGCAAAGGCCUCCGGUCCAGCUAGACAGGGAAAAGUUUCCUCAGAAAGGGACGUUUAUGGACUGCUCGGCUACGCUCUCUCCAGGGAGACCUGCUUUAACGGUUCCCGUUAGGUGCUUCCCCUUUGGGGAGACUCCGAUCCGGACGAAGUGAGUGAGCAGGGGACAGGACAGGGAUCUCUGACAAUGGAGCUGUGCCCAAACUAGAAUGCACAACGGGUACUAGCCACGCCGCCUCUCUCAGUUGUGGUAACACAACUUCCGUCUUGAACUAGAGCCGAGAGACAAGAAGCGCGCGGACUCUAAGAGAUCGGAUCAGGCAAAGUGGGUGCACUGUGUAAGAUCUGGACAGGAGUUUGACUCCUCCUUCAUUUGACUUACUUUAGGGGAAAGCAAGCACUGUUUUUGUGUUCAGACCCUCCGUAAGCACCUGCAGGCUUGUGUUCGCCACCGUCACCACCGGGGCGGAGUGUUUCUUUCCUCCUGGAUCCAAACACCACUCAUGCUGAUGUUUGUGGAUCCAGAUAGACAAACGCUCUGAUUGGCAGAGCAUAGGCUGUGACUCUUUCUGUCAAUCACAGUAGCCAAGCCCUCUCUCACUCGUGGUCUGAGAAUGAGUGCGGGCUCUAUGAACCCCAAGAUUAAAAACAAGACCAGAACACCGACGUGAGUUGGAAGACGAUCUUUGCUUUUGGGCAGAAUGACUCAAUCUCACAGGAAAAUAGUACAUAUUUUAAGAGUAGCCCAAUUAAAAUGCCAAUGAAUUUCCUCCUAGAGUAUGACAAAUUUAGUUUGAAGAUAAUUUGAAAAAAAAAGAAACUAACUUUUCACCACCAACAAAGAAAGGAUAGUGUGGUUCUCAACCUUCCUAAUGCUGCCACCCUUUAAUACAAUUUUAUGUUGUGGUGGCCUCAACCCUAAAAUUAUUUCAUAACUGUAAUUUUGUUACUGGAAAUAGAAUGGAAUUUCAUAAUGGAAAUAUCUGGUAUGCGACCCCAAGGGGCUUGCGACCUACAGGUUGAUAACCACUGCGCUAAAUGAAGAGCUAUGGAAGAAAUUGUGCUUUAUUCUGCUACUGUUUUUAAUAUCCUAUGCAUGAUUUAUUAUCAUAUACAUAUCUUAUUUACAUAUAUUAUUAUUGAUUUUUCUCUAGGUAUUUCUUUUUUUUUUUUUUUCUAGGCUGGGAUUUAAGGCUUGUGCCACCACCGCCCGGCGAGGAUAUUUCUUUAGACAGUUUUUCCAUGUGCAGAUUAUACAGUCGUCAGAAGUACCGGACGUGACUGAACCCACUCGACAGAAUGAGAGUUGUGUCUACUCAGCACGGAAGGCAAGUCUAAGGCAAGCUUUGUGAUGUUGUUAAUUGGCUGGGGCCGCUGAUGUCCUGUCCAGCUUCGUCGGUCCUCUCAGGCCAUGCGUUCUCUGCCCAUGCUUCUCAUCUUGCUCCUGUAACAUCCUUUUGGGAUUGAUAAGUCCCUGUAUCUAUCCUUGAAUACUUCGGAAAAGUUCUCGGACUCCGAGCUCUCUGAAAACGCACAUUUGAUUGAGUUUUCUGUUUUAAGCGUUUAGCACAGUGCUUGGCAAAUAGGAGCCCUUCUGUUCCUCCGGAGCCUUCAUCAAUUAUAGUUUAUAGCUUUAACUAUCCCUGACCUUAUUUGCAUAGCUCUGCUCAAAGUUCCGUACUGCAGCUUCUAAUGUAUGUUUGGAAAUCGUAUUGCCAGAUGGUCCCAACAGAAAUACCAGGAUCAUUUGAGAAAAAGAUGACCAUAAGCCAAAAAUACACUUGCCAGGAACAGUUGUUUUGAUGACAAUCCACAUUAUAUCUUACAAUUUACAUUAUAUAGUUUUAAGUAAAAAUUGAUUGUUUCAAGAGCACCCUUUUGUCCCUACUGAAUACUAUAUUCAAAAGAGCACGACUUGGGAGUUAACAUCUACUGAGCUGUGUUAAUUGGUUUGUGUAUUAACUAUGACCACCACUGACGUCGUCGUCAUCGGGGAGCUACUUUGAAGUUCAUUUUAGGAUACUUUUCUGAGACUUAUGUAAGUCAGGACAGGGUUUUACCACCGAAUUCAUAUUUUCCAGUGAAUUUUAAUGCUUACAUAUCUUUAUAUGUAUGUUAGCUAAUAAUAAAUGCAUUGCUCCCGACUCCUGGGGCUUAAGGCACAGUUAGCAUGCCUUACCUCUUCUGGGUGCUGGCUGUUCUUUUUGUGAAUCAGGAAGAGGCGUGGCCGAGGCUCUGCACCAGGACGCUCAUGCCUUGGAGUCUCUUGUCCACUGGACCAGCAGCCAUCAGCCAUGUGAAGAUUUACCACGCUGGGCCAGCCACCUGCAUGGUGGCCCACUCACCGUGUUCUUGACAAUCCAAUUAGGCAAUCAUUAUUAUUUAAUUUGCAGAUCAGAAACUGAAAAGGAGUUUGCGCAGGUCAUUACUCCAAGGAAGCUUAAGCUUGAAUUGAAGCAAUUAACUCUGAAGUGUGUGUUUCCUGUUCUUUGUGUAUGAGACAGGGGCUUGCUAUGUAAUCUAGGCCAAACUUGAACUCAUUAUACUGCUGGCCUCAUACUUACGCUUAAGUCUGGGAUUUCGGGUAUGUGUUUGUACUCUUAAAAUUAAACUAAUUUUAAUUUUAUUUUCUAUUUAUUCAAAUAAAAUGCUUUUUCCUGAGUUUUUCA